Long non-coding RNA from Bufo bufo (common toad), 184 nucleotides. RefSeq lists it as uncharacterized. The record is from RefSeq and is a predicted model, not a curated record. NCBI's taxonomy places the organism in Eukaryota, Metazoa, Chordata, Amphibia, Anura, Bufonidae. The transcript is spliced from 4 exons.
UGACCAACGCAGUUAUUGGGAAGUUCACUUAACUAGGGACACAUAGACAAGUGCAUUCGUCCAUGGAUGCUACAUUUCCCUGACGGCACAUUGGGUGAAUGUUGUGGAGGCCGGGAGCGAGUCGUACCCUGGGAUGGCACAGGUGCUACCACUGCCAAGGAUUGCGGGCCCUACGUCGAUCAGG